ACUGAACGCUGGCGGCAGGCCUAACACGUGCAAGUCGAGCGGAUGAAGGGAGCUUGCUCCUGGAUUCAGCGGCGGACGGGUGAGUAAUGCCUAGGAAUCUGCCUGGUAGUGGGGGAUAACGUCCGGAAACGGGCGCUAAUACCGCAUACGUCCUGAGGGAGAAAGUGGGGGAUCUUCGGACCUCACGCUAUCAGAUGAGCCUAGGUCGGAUUAGCUAGUUGGUGGGGUAAAGGCCUACCAAGGCGACGAUCCGUAACUGGUCUGAGAGGAUGAUCAGUCACACUGGAACUGAGACACGGUCCAGACUCCUACGGGAGGCAGCAGUGGGGAAUAUUGGACAAUGGGCGAAAGCCUGAUCCAGCCAUGCCGCGUGUGUGAAGAAGGUCUUCGGAUUGUAAAGCACUUUAAGUUGAGAGGAAGGGCAGUAAGUUAAUACCUUGCUGUUUUGACGUUACCAACAGAAUAAGCACCGGCUAACUUCGUG
Molecule: ribosomal RNA, 484 nt
Filed under: uncultured bacterium
Lineage: Bacteria
Description: partial 16S ribosomal RNA
Rfam family: Bacterial small subunit ribosomal RNA
Source: RNAcentral